This 1002-nucleotide ribosomal RNA is filed under the name Escherichia coli. RNAcentral's name for it is "partial 23S ribosomal RNA". It matches the Rfam family "Bacterial large subunit ribosomal RNA", at positions 148 to 1191 of the family's 2925-position model. The record is from RNAcentral. Lineage: Bacteria; Pseudomonadati; Pseudomonadota; Gammaproteobacteria; Enterobacterales; Enterobacteriaceae.
CUAUCAUUAACUGAAUCCAUAGGUUAAUGAGGCGAACCGGGGGAACUGAAACAUCUAAGUACCCCGAGGAAAAGAAAUCAACCGAGAUUCCCCCAGUAGCGGCGAGCGAACGGGGAGCAGCCCAGAGCCUGAAUCAGUGUGUGUGUUAGUGGAAGCGUCUGGAAAGGCGCGCGAUACAGGGUGACAGCCCCGUACACAAAAAUGCACAUACUGUGAGCUCGAUGAGUAGGGCGGGACACGUGGUAUCCUGUCUGAAUAUGGGGGGACCAUCCUCCAAGGCUAAAUACUCCUGACUGACCGAUAGUGAACCAGUACCGUGAGGGAAAGGCGAAAAGAACCCCGGCGAGGGGAGUGAAAAAGAACCUGAAACCGUGUACGUACAAGCAGUGGGAGCCUCUUUAUGGGGUGACUGCGUACCUUUUGUAUAAUGGGUCAGCGACUUAUAUUCUGUAGCAAGGUUAACCGAAUAGGGGAGCCGAAGGGAAACCGAGUCUUAACUGGGCGUUAAGUUGCAGGGUAUAGACCCGAAACCCGGUGAUCUAGCCAUGGGCAGGUUGAAGGUUGGGUAACACUAACUGGAGGACCGAACCGACUAAUGUUGAAAAAUUAGCGGAUGACUUGUGGCUGGGGGUGAAAGGCCAAUCAAACCGGGAGAUAGCUGGUUCUCCCCGAAAGCUAUUUAGGUAGCGCCUCGUGAAUUCAUCUCCGGGGGUAGAGCACUGUUUCGGCAAGGGGGUCAUCCCGACUUACCAACCCGAUGCAAACUGCGAAUACCGGAGAAUGUUAUCACGGGAGACACACGGCGGGUGCUAACGUCCGUCGUGAAGAGGGAAACAACCCAGACCGCCAGCUAAGGUCCCAAAGUCAUGGUUAAGUGGGAAACGAUGUGGGAAGGCCCAGACAGCCAGGAUGUUGGCUUAGAAGCAGCCAUCAUUUAAAGAAAGCGUAAUAGCUCACUGGUCGAGUCGGCCUGCGCGGAAGAUGUAACGGGGCUAAACCAUG